CCCUUGUGCCAGCAGCCGCGGUAAUUCCAGCUCCAAUAGCGUAUAUUAAAGUUGUUGCGGUUAAAAAGCUCGUAGUUGGAUUUCUGUUGAGGUCGGGCGGUGUGCACCUCGUGCAUUAUUUGCUUCGGUCUCGGCAUCCUCCUGGGGAACGUUUAGGACUUUAUUGGACUAGGCGAGAUUCAGGACUUUUACUUUGAGGAAAUUAGAGUGUUCACGGCAAGCAAGCGCGGGAAUACAUUAGCAUGGAAUAAUAAUAUAGGACCUUCGUUCUAUUUUGUUGGUUUCUAGAACUUAGGUAAUGAUUAAUAGGGACAAUUGGGGGCAUUCGUAUUAACGCGUCAGAGGUGGAAUUCUUGGAUUGCGUUACGACGAACUACUGCGAAAGCAUUUGCCAAAGAUGUUUUCAUUGAUCAAGAACGAAAGUAUGGGGAUCGAAGACGCUUAGAUACCGUCGUAGUCUAUACCAUAAACUAUGCCAACUAGAGAUCGGUGGGGUUAUCCUAUGUGGCUCCAUCGGCAUCUUAUGAGAAAUCAAAGUUUUUGGGUUCCGGGGGGAGUAUGGUCGCAAGGCUGAAACUUAAAGGAAUUGACGGAAGGGCACCACCAGGAGUGGAGCCUGCGGCUUAAUUUGACUCAACACGGGGAAACUCACCAGGUCCAGACAUAAUAAGGAUUGACAGAUUGAUAGCUCUUUCUUGAUUUUAUGGGUGGUGGUGCAUGGCCGUUCUUAGUUCGUGGAGUGAUUUGUCUGCUUAAUUUCGUUAACGAACGAGACCUUAACCUGCUAAAUAGAAGCUCCUAUCUUCGGAUAAGUGCAUUUCUUCUUAGAGGGACUUUACGCGUUGCAGCGUGAGGAAGUUUGAGGCUAAAACAGGUCUGUGAUGCCCAA
Molecule: ribosomal RNA, 889 nt
Filed under: uncultured eukaryote
Lineage: Eukaryota
Description: SSU rRNA
Rfam family: Eukaryotic small subunit ribosomal RNA
Source: RNAcentral